AGAGUUUGAUCCUGGCUCAGGAUGAACGCUGGCGGCGUGCUUAACACAUGCAAGUCGAACGAACCUUCGGGUUAGUGGCGGACGGGUGAGUAACGCGUGAGAAUCUGCCCUCAGGAGGGGGAUAACGGCUGGAAACGGCCGCUAAUACCCCAUAUGCCGAGAGAUGAAAUGAAUUUCGCCUGAGGAUGAGCUCGCGUCUGAUUAGCUAGUUGGUGUGGUAAAGGCUCACCAAGGCAUCGAUCAGUAGCUGGUCUGAGAGGAUGAUCAGCCACACUGGGACUGAGACACGGCCCAGACUCCUACGGGAGGCAGCAGUGGGGAAUUUUCCGCAAUGGGCGCAAGCCUGACGGAGCAACGCCGCGUGAGGGAUGAAGGCCUCUGGGCUGUAAACCUCUUUUAUCAAGGAAGAAGAUCGGACGGUACUUGAUGAAUAAGCCACGGCUAAUUCCGUGCCAGCAGCCGCGGUAAUACGGGAGUGGCAAGCGUUAUCCGGAAUUAUUGGGCGUAAAGCGUCCGCAGGCGGUCUUGAAAGUCUGUUGUUAAAGCGUGGAGCUCAACUCCAUUUCAGCAAUGGAAACUAGAAGACUAGAGUGUGGUAGGGGCAGAGGGAAUUCCCGGUGUAGCGGUGAAAUGCGUAGAUAUCGGGAAGAACACCAGUGGCGAAGGCGCUCUGCUGGGCCAUAACUGACGCUCAUGGACGAAGGCCAGGGGAGCGAAAGGGAUUAGAUACCCCUGUAGUCCCGGCCGUAAACGAUGAACACUAGGUGUCGGGGGAAUCGACCCCCUCGGUGUCGUAGCCAACGCGUUAAGUGUUCCGCCUGGGGAGUACGCACGCAAGUUUGAAACUCAAAGGAAUUGACGGGGGCCCGCACAAGCGGUGGAGUAUGUGGUUUAAUUCGAUGCAACGCGAAGAACCUUACCAGGGUUUGACAUCCUGCGAAUCCCUUGGAAACUUGGGAGUGCCUUCGGGAGCGCAGUGACAGGUGGUGCAUGGCUGUCGUCAACUCGUGUCGUGAGAUGUUGGGUUAAGUCCCGCAACGAGCGCAACCCACGUCUUUAGUUGCCAGCAUUAAGUUGGGCACUCUAGAGAGACUGCCGGUGAUAAACCGGAGGAAGGUGUGGAUGACGUCAAGUCAUCAUGCCCCUUACAUCCUGGGCUACACACGUACUACAAUGCUACGGACAAAGGGCAGCAAACUCGCGAGAGCUAGCAAAUCCCAUAAACCGUGGCUCAGUUCAGAUCGUAGGCUGCAACUCGCCUACGUGAAGGAGGAAUCGCUAGUAAUCGCAGGUCAGCAUACUGCGGUGAAUACGUUCCCGGGCCUUGUACACACCGCCCGUCACACCAUGGAAGUUGGCCACGCCCGAAGUCGUUACUCCAACCCGCAAGGGAGGAGGAUGCCGAAGGUGGGGCUGAUGACUGGGGUGAAGUCGUAACAAGGUA
Molecule: ribosomal RNA, 1444 nt
Filed under: metagenome
Description: bacterial SSU rRNA
Rfam family: Bacterial small subunit ribosomal RNA
Source: RNAcentral